RNAcentral lists this transfer RNA (85 nucleotides) under Felis catus (domestic cat). It matches the Rfam family "tRNA". Rfam says of the family: Transfer RNA (tRNA) molecules are approximately 80 nucleotides in length. Their secondary structure includes four short double-helical elements and three loops (D, anti-codon, and T loops). The record is from Rfam by way of RNAcentral. Lineage: Eukaryota; Metazoa; Chordata; Mammalia; Carnivora; Felidae.
GCUUGGGUGGCUCAGUCAGUUGAGCGCCUGACUUACGCUCAGGUCAUGAUCUCGAGUUUCAUGAGUUCAAGCCCCACAUCAGGCU